Molecule: ribosomal RNA, 445 nt
Filed under: uncultured bacterium
Lineage: Bacteria
Description: partial 16S ribosomal RNA
Rfam family: Bacterial small subunit ribosomal RNA
Source: RNAcentral
GUGAGGAAUAUUGGACAAUGGGCGCAAGCCUGAUCCAGCCAUGCCGCGUGCAGGAAGACGCAUCUAUGGUGUGUAAACUGCUUUUGUACGGGAAGAAACACUCCCUCGUGAGGGAGCUUGACGGUACCGUAAGAAUAAGGAUCGGCUAACUCCGUGCCAGCAGCCGCGGUAAUACGGAGGAUCCAAGCGUUAUCCGGAAUCCUUGGGUGUAAAGGGUCCGUAGGCGGUUUAAUAAGUCAGUGGUGAAAGCCCAUCGCUCAACGAUGUAACGGCCAUUGAUACUGUUAGACUUGAAUUACAAGGAAGUAACUAGAAUAUGUAGUGUAGCGGUGAAAUGCUUCGAUAUUACAUGGAAUACCAAUUGCGAAGGCAGGUUACUACUUGUGGAUUGACGCUGAUGGACGAAAGCGUGGGGAGCGAACAGGAUUAGAAACCCUAGUAGUCC